This 253-nucleotide ribosomal RNA is filed under the name uncultured bacterium. Its description in RNAcentral is "partial 16S ribosomal RNA". It matches the Rfam family "Bacterial small subunit ribosomal RNA", at positions 99 to 353 of the family's 1533-position model. The record is from RNAcentral.
CGGACGGGUGAGUAAUGUCUGGGAAACUGCCUGAUGGAGGGGGAUAACUACUGGAAACGGUAGCUAAUACCGCAUAACGUCGCAAGACCAAAGAGGGGGACCCUCGGGCCUCUUGCCAUCAGAUGUGCCCAGAUGGGAUUAGCUAGUAGGUGGGGUAACGGCUCACCUAGGCGACGAUCCCUAGCUGGUCUGAGAGGAUGACCAGCCACACUGGAACUGAGACACGGUCCAGACUCCUACGGGAGGCAGCAUG